GUCCACGCCGUAACAAUGGAUACUCGGUUAAGAGGGACUCGACCCCUUUGAGCCUUAGCUAACGCGUUAAGUAUCCCGCCUGGGAGUACGGUCGCAAGAUUAAACUCAAAGGAAUAGACGGGACCCACACAAGCGGUGGAGCAUGUGGUUCAAUUCGACGAUAAACGAGGAACCUUACCAAGGCUUGACAUCUCCGGAAUCUCCUGGAAACAGGGGAGUGCCGCAAGGAACCGGAUGACAGGUGCUGCAUGGUCGUCGU
This 259-nucleotide ribosomal RNA is filed under the name uncultured bacterium. Its description in RNAcentral is "partial 16S ribosomal RNA". It matches the Rfam family "Bacterial small subunit ribosomal RNA", at positions 793 to 1055 of the family's 1533-position model. The record is from RNAcentral.